Molecule: ribosomal RNA, 253 nt
Filed under: uncultured bacterium
Lineage: Bacteria
Description: partial 16S ribosomal RNA
Rfam family: Bacterial small subunit ribosomal RNA
Source: RNAcentral
UACGGAGGGUGCGAGCGUUGUCCGGAAUCACUGGGCGUAAAGGGCGCGUAGGUGGCCCGUUAAGUGGCUGGUGAAAUCCCGCGGCUCAACUGCGGGGCUGCCGGUCAUACUGGCGAGCUAGAGCACGGUAGGGGCAGAUGGAAUUCCCGGUGUAGCGGUGGAAUGCGUAGAGAUCGGGAAGAAUACCAGUGGCGAAGGCGUUCUGCUGGGCCGUAACUGACGCUGAGGAGCGAAAGCAUGGGGAGCGAACAGG